GCCCUUUAAGAUGGCAUUCGUAUGUGUGUUUAUACAAGAAAUCAAUAGGGCUAUAUCAGCUUAGGUUAGUUUUAAAGUCCUUUUAGAGCGAAUCCUCAAAUCAUCAAAUCAAACGCUUUUUGACACUUCCGAGCCCAUAAAUUAUAUUUAUUCCUGUUUAGCAUUAAGAGCUAUCAUCAUAAAACUUGAUAUGGGUUCGUCUUUCUGUUGCAGGCAGUAUUUGUGUAUAUUGUAAACGGCCGGAACGGACCACUAUAUCAUAUAGCUGCCCUAGGAAUAAUUGAACGAAAAAGUUGCAUAGCUUUAUGACGUCUUUACAAAAUCUUAUCAACAUCGCACCACUAGCUAUAUGCUAAGCUCUAUCGGAAGAAUCGGUUGACAGACUAACUAUAAGUUGCGCCUGGUCGAACAGCCGAACAGCCAAACUGCCGAAGCCGGAACCGGCCAGCCUCGUCGUCAUAUGACACCUUGGACAACAAAUCGACUUGUAAUUGUCGCAAUUAAUAAGCAUGAAAAUAAUAGAGAACACAACUAGUUUAUAUCCAUUAGCAUUUAAGCAACUGCUGCGAGCAUACGAUGGAUAUAUGCUGAAAGAGUUAAUGCUAAAAGUAACCAUGGAGGACAUAAGUGUAUUGAUGAGUUUUAAACUUCUUGAAGGAUUGCUCCGCUAUAAACUGAACAUGGAGAGAGUUGGUGGCUAAAGUAACCGCGGAGGUAAGAGUGUACUGAUAAGAUCUAAACUUCUUCAAGGCUAUAAACUGAACAUGGAUAUAUGUUGUUAGAGCUGGUGACCAAAGUAACCAUGGAGGAUACAAGUAAGAUCUACAAGAUCUAAACUUCUAAAAGCCUUGCUCAGUAAGCUAUUAAGUGAACAUGGAUGGCACAUUGGAUUCAAUUGAAGUGACCAUUGAUGAUGCAAAUUUUAAGCAAACACUCGAAAAUAUUAUUUGAGAUAAUAUCGUAUUCAUGAUAUUGUAAGCAGAGAGAUUAAAAUGAGCACAUGGAGGACAUGUAUCUUACGAAAACUAUUGAAACCAUGUAGGAGAACGCGUUCGCUGCGAUAAAAGUGACCUUGGAGAACGCUGGAUUCAGCGUGAAAAAUCCUUCUGUGUACUUGAGUAUUAGCAAAACAGUUGAAAAUAUUAUUUAGAUGCACUCAGUGAAAAGUAAAGUGACAUUAAGGACACACUUGUGAAGAAAAGUGUUGGCAACAUGAUUAACUAAAGUAACCAUGAAGGACAAAUGAAAACUGUGAAGAAUGCUAAUGAAAAAUGAAGUUUUGUCUUCUUAAGCUUAGACUCGUCUGACAUAGCUGAGUUUGGCUAAGAAAUAAUGCGCCAAAGAAAUCGAAAGCCGUGCAGGCAAUAAGCCGCACAUCCAGAGCUCAGCUACAGGUAGUUAAAAGAUUGCCAGCGACUUGGCCAAGGAACAUGCAGCGCCAGAAAUGGUCAAAUGCGCCAAGAAGUGUAGUUAAAAAGAUUGCUUUUGCAUAUUUCUUUGGGCAAAUAUCUGCUGGAUGCAUGUUUGUCGGGCGAAGGCGGCGCCAGCGAUCGUAACAAGGGCAACGUUAACAAUAAUAAUAAACAUUUUGAAAAAAAUGUUAGCCACAAUGGCAAAGAGCAAUCAAAUGAAGUUCUUGAAGGACUUGAGUAGAAAACGUCCGUCAGACUUUGCAGGGGGACCUCAUCCACUGCUUGGCCAAGUGUGUCCAGAGCUGCGUGAAAUUGUCACAGGGAAAGUGAGUCGAAAGUAAGCGUGAUGACAUUACCUUGAGGGUAGUUAAUCCCAUUUAUGGUUACACUUUAUGCGAGUACUCGUAACGUGUUGAAUUCUUAAGCUCAGCUCUGACUUAAUUGCAGUUUAUUUAAACUUAACCAGUUCCACCUUGUGCUUCAAAUUCACGCUGCGAAUGCCAUGUCCAAGACAAAUGUGAUUUGUCAAUCAUUGGGACAACUUGUGAAUGUGAGCUGCAAAUUAAACUUCAGCCCUCGCAACUUUAAACUGUGACACUAUCACUUUUCCAUAAGCCAAUUUGUCAUCCAACCAGUCAACAACUGGGUCAGCACAUGUCACAAAAUUUACGAAAAGUCGCCAUGCAACGACUGCCCAAGCUCCAAAAGCUAGGACUCUGAUUUUUUACAGUAGUUAGCUUAUGUGAUGUAAAAGCAGACCGGAUUUUGGGCACAUUUUGAAGUGUUAUAUAAAUCUCUUCGUUCAAGCAACUUAAAACUUAUUUUGAAAUCUCUAUAUACAAAUUAAUUUAAAUGGGUCAACGAAUUUUGAAAAUCUAUCCCUAUGUUCGGAAAAUGUGCGAUAAACAGUUGCAUGCAACUUGGCUGUUUCUUAUCACAUCACCUUUCUAUGUGAUUCUCAUUAAUUCAGUGAUGUCCUAUAAAGUCUUUUAAACUUCUAUCUAUAGUAUAGAUAUAUACUAUAUAC
This is a non-coding RNA of Drosophila virilis, 2439 nucleotides long. The record is from RefSeq and is a predicted model, not a curated record. NCBI's taxonomy places the organism in Eukaryota, Metazoa, Arthropoda, Insecta, Diptera, Drosophilidae.